RNAcentral lists this non-coding RNA (31 nucleotides) under Mus musculus (house mouse). Lineage: Eukaryota; Metazoa; Chordata; Mammalia; Rodentia; Muridae. The record is from RNAcentral.
UGGAAUCACAUAAACAUAGACUGAAGGAUCC